Molecule: ribosomal RNA, 3062 nt
Filed under: Ophryotrocha labronica
Lineage: Eukaryota; Metazoa; Annelida; Polychaeta; Eunicida; Dorvilleidae
Description: eukaryotic LSU rRNA
Rfam family: Eukaryotic large subunit ribosomal RNA
Source: RNAcentral
CCCGCUGAAYUUAAGCAUAUGAUUACGCGGUGGAAAGGAAACAAACCCGGCUUCACACAGUAGCGGCGAGCGAAGUGUCGAAGCGCGCGUAUUUUCAAGGGCGGCCCCUGAAGUGUGCCGUUCCUGUUUCACUGAAAGACGGUUUGCUCGGAGCGGGUGGCCUCUGUCGGCGUUCCCGCCGCGGCUAGCGUAAGCCCGUCCCAGACGGCGAUGGCCCGGUAGGUGUCCGACGUACGGUCGCUUAGUCUCGUACCGCUCUCGUGCAACCGCGGAGUAGGAUAGUUUGCGAUUGCUGUCCCAAGACAGGAGGUGAGUCACUGAUGAAGCUAUGUAUCCCUACGGCACCGAUAGCGCACACGCGCAGUACCGUGAGGGAAAACUGAAACAGCACUUGGCGGCGAGAGUUAAAGUAGUACGUGAAACCAUUGGCCAGGAACGGAGGGGUGCCGUCGUGCAGACCCUCCACCCGUCUUGAAACACGGACCGUGGAGUUGGAGUGUCGCGCGAGUCCCCGAGGCGUCGAAACCUCGCGGCGGGCGUAUCGAAGGAAACGAAGCUCUUUGGGCAUAUCGUAGAGCGUGGCGGUGCAUACCCGAUAGACGGUGAUCUAUUCUAGAGCGGGCGGAAGCCGGAGGAAACUCCGGUGGACGGCCUGAGCGAUUCUGACGUGCAAAUCGAUCGCGAGACUCGAGUAUAGGGGCGAAAGACUAAUCGAACAGUCGGUAGCUGGUUCCGGCACGAAAUAUCCCUCAGGAUAGCAGACGGCGGCCCUCGACUGGGCGGGCAGUAGCGCGCUGUAGAGCUCAUGACUAGAGGCACUCUGCUCGGCGUUCUUCGGGGGUCCUCCGUGGCCCUCGACCUAAUCUCAAACUCUGAACGCGCGCGCUCCACCCGGCCGCCUCCAGGGCCGGGUAGCUAUACGCUGCACAAAACCCAUUGGCAUGCUGACGCCGUCUAGUGGGCCCUUUUUGGUAAGCAGAACUGGCGAUGCGGGACGAACCAGACGCACGUCACGCGGCCGCCUCUCGAAAGCGCGGCCGCAAUACCUCCGGUGGCAGAUCCUCGCGGCCAACAAGAGACCGCUAAAGGGCGUCAAUCAGUCCAGACAGCAAGUCGGUGGCCACGGAAGUCGGCACCCGCUUAAGGACCGGUGUAACAACCCACUUGCCGAACUGAUGGCCCCGAAAUGGAUGCCGCUGCGUCGCGUACCUCUUGACGUGCCGCCGCCGCGCGAUCCUCGGCGAAUGGAUGCGGCGGCGAGUAGGCCGGUGAGACGGUGGAUGUGAAGUGCACAGGUCGCAGGACCGCAUGGAUCCUGCGUCUGCAAUGAUCUCGGUGUGAGUAGCGAGUAUUUCGAUGAACGAAGCUGUACAGCUCUGAGCCUAUGACUCGAAAGGCAGACGUGGUAGAAGGGUUUCGCGGUACACAGCGCUUGUACGCGAGUUAGUCGUUCCUAAGCGACAGGCCAGCGCCUUCACAGGCCGCCUCGUCUUAACCAGCGAGGACUGUACGCGAAUGGGAAGCCGGUUGACGUUCCGGCGCCUGGAUUCCGAGCACGGCCUCUCGGGGCCUAAGGAGGCGGUAACGCCGUUCCGGCCACAGGAGACGUCGCCGCUGUGCGCACGCGGAAGCCACACUGCUUACGCUGCAGGCAGGUUGUUUUCCGUUGAGGGUCCGUCCACGGACGCCGCCGUAAUCGCAUAAUGCGGCGAAGCGGCAUUGCCGGACGGGCCGCAUAGAGCGUUCAUCAUGUGUACCGACGCUCCUAUGAUAGCUGCACGCCGCGACCCGUGAAAAUCCUGUGGCCGCCGAUACUGUUGCUCGGACCGGUACGUACCUCAGAACCGCAGCAGGUCUCCAAGGUUAGCAGCCUCUUGUCACGCGGAAGUCAAUGUAGGUAAGGGAAGUCGGCAAACGCGAUCUGUACCUUCGGCACAAGGAUUGGCUCUGGCGACGAGUUGGCAGGCCCGUGCUUUCGGGCACGCGGCAGCCAGCGACACGUUAAGUUAGAACCGGCACGGACCGCCCGGGAAUCCGACUGUCUAAUUAAAACAGAGCAUCGCGACCGCCGGCGAUCGACGGCGGUGACGCGAUGUGAUUUCUGCCCAGUGCUCUGAUUGUCAACGUGACGAGAGUCGUGCAAGCACGGGUAAACGGCGGGAGUAACUAUGACUCUCUUCUGGUAGCGAAAUGCCUCGUCGUCUAACUAGUGACGUGCAUGAAUGGAUUAACGAGAUUCCCACUGUCCCUACGUACGGUCCGGCGAAACCACAGCCAAGGGAACGGGCUUGGCGUCGCCUGCGGGGAAAGAAGACCCUGUCGAGCUCGGCACUCAGCGGCCGUUGCGACGAGACGCGGGAGGUGUAGGAUAGGUGGGAGGUGCUCGCACCGACAGUGAAAUACCACCACUCCCGUGUGUCUCAUCGCUAAUACGGCUGGACGGCUCUCUUAAUUGCUUUAUGCGACCACGACGACCAAUGCGGUCCGUAGACAUCGGACGCUCGGGUGCUUGGCUGGGGCGGUACACUAACGAAACCAUAACGUCGGUGUCCAAAGGAACGCUCAGCGGGAACGGAGAUCUCGCGUAGAGCAACCGGGUAAAAGCGUCUUUGAUUCCACAGAUUCUCAGGUAGGAAUGGGAACCGCGAAAGCGAGGCCUCUCGAUCCUUUACGUUCCGUUCAGUCCUCGACUCGAGGCUAGAGGUGUCAGAAAAGUUACCACAGGGAUAACUGGCUUGUGGCUGCCAAGCGUUCUUAGCGACGUGGCUUUUUGAUCCUUCGAUGUCGUCUCUUCCUAACGCAGCCACGCAGCAGUGGCUAACCGUUGGAUUGUUCGCCCUACACAAGGGAACGCGAGAUGGGUUUAGACCGUUGUGAAACAGGUUAGUUUUACCCUACAGGCGAGCCUGCGCGGCGCGCAUCUUAGCGCGCCGGGAGCAUCGGCAUGCUACGCUUCACCCAGUACGAGAGGAACAGCGAAGCGGGACCUCCGGUAAUCGUGUUUGUUCGCAUGGACAUGCGCCACGCUGCGUCCAGGGUGAUAACGACUGAACGCCUCUAAG